Molecule: ribosomal RNA, 683 nt
Filed under: uncultured Mesotoga sp.
Lineage: Bacteria; Thermotogati; Thermotogota; Thermotogae; Kosmotogales; Kosmotogaceae
Description: bacterial SSU rRNA
Rfam family: Bacterial small subunit ribosomal RNA
Source: RNAcentral
GGGAACGUAUCUUUUGCAGGGGGAUAACUGACCGAAAGGACAGCUAAUACCGCAUAAGUCCGGGAGGAGAAAGGUGCAAAAGCAUCGGCAGAAGAGCGGCCCGCGGUCCAUCAGCUAGUUGGUGAGGUAAGGGCUUACCAAGGCGACGACGGAUAGCCGGCGUGAGAGCGUGGCCGGCCACAAGGACACUGAGAUACGGGUCCUACUCCUACGGGAGGCAGCAGUGCGGAAUUUUAGAUAAUGGAGGGAACUCUGAUCUAGCGACGCCGCGUGCAGGAAGAAGGUCUUCGGAUUGUAAACUGCUGUGGUAAGGGAAAAAUGCUAUGUAGAGUGGAAAGCUACAUAGAGGGAUGGUACCUUACUAGAAAGCCCCGGCUAACUACGUGCCAGCAGCCGCGGUAAUACGUAGGGGGCGAGCGUUACCCGGAAUCACUGGGCGUAAAGGGAGCGUAGGUGGCCUAACAUGUCAACUGUGAAAACCCGGAGCUCAACUCCGGACUUGCAGUUGAAACUGGUAGGCUUGAGGACGGUAGAGGAAGACGGAACUGCCAGUGUAGGGGUAAAAUCCUUAGAUAUUGGCAGGAACGCCGGUGACGAAGGUGGUUUUCUGGGCCGGUUCUGACACUGAUGCUCGAAAGCCAGGGGAGCGAACGGGAUUAGAUACCCCGGUAGUCCUGGCCCUA